RNAcentral lists this ribosomal RNA (446 nucleotides) under uncultured bacterium. RNAcentral's name for it is "partial 16S ribosomal RNA". It matches the Rfam family "Bacterial small subunit ribosomal RNA", at positions 338 to 795 of the family's 1533-position model. The record is from RNAcentral.
CCUACGGGUGGCAGCAGUCGAGAAUCAUUCACAAUGGGGGAAACCCUGAUGGUGCGACGCCGCGUGGGGGAAUGAAGGUCUUCGGAUUGUAAACCCCUGUCAUGUGGGAGCAAAUUAAAAAGAUAGUACCACAAGAGGAAGAGACGGCUAACUCUGUGCCAGCAGCCGCGGUAAUACAGAGGUCUCAAGCGUUGUUCGGAAUCACUGGGCGUAAAGCGUGCGUAGGCUGUUUCGUAAGUCGUGUGUGAAAGGCGCGGGCUCAACCCGCGGACGGCAGAUGAUACUGCGAGACUAGAGUAGUGGAGGGGGAACCGGAAUGCUCGGUGUAGCAGUGAAAUGCGUAGAUAUCGAGAGGAACACUCGUGGCGAAGGCGGGUUCCUGGACAUUAACUGACGCUGAGGCACGAAGGCCAGGGGAGCGAAAGGGAUUAGAUACCCGGGUAGUC